ACGUAGGGUGCAAGCGUUAAUCGGAAUUACUGGGCGUAAAGCGUGCGCAGGCGGUUUUGUAAGACAGUCGUGAAAUCCCCGGGCUCAACCUGGGAAUGGCGAUUGUGACUGCAAAGCUGGAGUGCGGCAGAGGGGGAUGGAAUUCCGCGUGUAGCAGUGAAAUGCGUAGAUAUGCGGAGGAACACCGAUGGCGAAGGCAAUCCCCUGGGCCUGCACUGACGCUCAUGCACGAAAGCGUGGGGAGCAAACAGGAUUAGAUACCCUGGUAGUCCACGCCCUAAACGAUGUCAACUGGUUGUUGGGUCUCUUCUGACUCAGUAACGAAGCUAACGCGUGAAGUUGACCGCCUGGGGAGUACGGCCGCAAGGUUG
RNAcentral lists this ribosomal RNA (371 nucleotides) under uncultured bacterium. RNAcentral's name for it is "bacterial SSU rRNA". It matches the Rfam family "Bacterial small subunit ribosomal RNA", at positions 525 to 896 of the family's 1533-position model. The record is from RNAcentral.